This 11032-nucleotide long non-coding RNA is filed under the name Malus domestica (apple). RNAcentral describes it as "long non-coding RNA (MDOM_LNC001070)". Lineage: Eukaryota; Viridiplantae; Streptophyta; Magnoliopsida; Rosales; Rosaceae. The record is from RNAcentral.
GAAUGGGGUGCUGACUGUGACUGUGCCGAAAGAGGAGGAGAAGAAGCCUGAGGUCAAGGCCAUUGACAUUUCCGGUUAAACUAAAUUCGCGUAACCUCGAUCGGCUACUUUUGAGCUCUGUUUUGGUGUGGUGUUAAGUUCUGCUUGUGUGUAUUUCCGAGUCUCUCUGUAUGUGAGAUGAGUGAUAUGGCGUGUCAAUUGUCAUGUAUGGGUUCUUAUUCUAAAUAUUAUAAUAAAUCUUUAUAAAAGUUUACAUUAUAUUUCCAAGAAGUGUGUCUGGGAGAAGGUCUAUUUAAUUUGUUUUCCACGAAUAUGAAGAAGAUGACCGUUCAUGGCGCGAUUCUCUUGCUCUUAAAGUCUAGAACUUUAACACCUGCGCAUGGAAUUGACAAAGAUUCUUUCGAUCUUCACAUGUGCUACUGCUAUUGGGAACCAGCUGCUGAGCUCGUGCGUCCUACGAAGGUUGCAGAGGUGUAUCAGGCAAAGAAGAAAGUUAGAGAUACAAAUUUUGUAUGGGAGAAGUAAUGCUCAAGUCGACAGUCCAGCAAAGGCGACAUUGAAGACAUCUUACUUACUCCAAGAGCAUAUGGCGAAUGCUCGAAGUUGCUUAAUUAGGACAUGGUUCUACAGUGGUCGAAAUUCCUAGCUGCUGUUUUUGGUUUAUUUUCAAGGUUAUAUUUUCAAGAGAACUUUAACGAAAAACUUCCAGUACUGUUUACUUUAACGAAAAAUCAUAUUUUUACACUAAAAAAUUAAUCAUGCUAUUAUUCAUUUUACCUUUUAUUUUAUCCUUACUGUUAAAACUCAAAAUUUUUAAGUCAUUUUUAUUAGUUUUUCUUAUUUUCAACUGUUUUUGGUUUGACUCGUGAACAAGGUUGUGUUUGCAAUUUUAAACCGGUGAUUGUUUCUUUUGUUUCUUUUGGUUUUUAGUUUGGAUAUUAAAAGUGUUGUACCGUUUUAAUAUAAAACAAAGCUUUUGAGUACUUCCAUGGUCAUCUUAACCCUGGAUGCAAAACGAGAUUGAUUCAAUCCUAAACGAGAUCAAUUAUUUAAGUGAAAUCAACCGCUGUAUUUUACUUGUAGACUAGAGCUGACAUAUCUUUUGUUGUGAAUUUUAGCAAGGUACAACAAUGCGCCUACACGUAGACACUAGACAUAUGUCCAAGUCAUCCUGCAAUUACUUUAUAGGUAUAGUGAAAUGAUGAUCAAACCCUAAAUUCUAAACCCUAAACCCUAGGGAAAAGUAAUUGAUGACAAAAAUACUGAGAAAUAAAAUUUGACUUCCUUCAGCUUUCGACCUUCCCUAGGUAGAUAUCCAUAUAGUAGCUUUUUCAACUUUGUAUCGGUCGUAUUCUUGAAUUUGGAAGGAAAAGAGGAGUAAUGCUUCCUAGCAUGGGACAUAGAAUAAGACCUAGAAUAAGGCCACUUAGAUUAGAAUAGCAUUCACAGAAAUGUUCUAACAUAGAGUUAAAUCGAACAUUGAAGAGAUUAGUUGGUCGUUAUUGGGACGGGUUCAAACAGGACUGCAAUCAAUAAUAAAAAAAAUAAAAAAUAAAAGAAUGAAGGAGCGGAACCUUCCUUUGACUCAAGCCAACCCCAGGUCAGGACGAGACUUUCUUUGUGCUACCAAUUAGUGAAAUUCUAUCUCUUUCUUACACAACUAAAAAAUGGGCAACAACUCUUGAAUCAAAAGCCUUCUAAGUUAUGCUGAUGAUGGUUAUUUAAACCGUACAAAGCGCGUUUCUAGAACGAUUUAUGUCUUUAAAUUCAUUCUAUGCGUUGAAGAAAUGACUUUUCUCAAUUGUAAGGGAUUAGUAAUCUUGCUAAAAAUGAUGAAAAAAGGAUUACAUGAAUUGUUGUUUGUACAAAAAUUAUUAAUAAAAGUUGUAGUUUAUCGUUUAAUGUUUCAAUUUUAUUUUCAUCUAAUUUUUUGGAGCUUUUUGUGAAACUUUAUAGGCCUAAGCAUGAUCUAUCACCGAUAUGAUCCCAACUUAACCACGUAUGGCUUAGUGUUGGGUUUUAUCCCAAAAUGACUGGUAAUAUUAGGGGUGAAAACUCUUAUUUAUUAAUAGUGUUGCAGUCCUAUUAGAUUAAGAAUUUGAUUGUGUAAAUCCUAACUUAUAUAUGAUAUCCUUAUGUGAUUCUACCAUAUAUUUUAGACUAUAUAUUAUCCUUUUACAGUUGUAAUUCUAUUGGGGUAAGGAAUUUACCUUCACUACUACUAUAAAUAAAGGCACUAUGGGAUGAUAUAACACACACCUCACAAUUACACAUCUAUCUCUUCUCUCUCUAUGUGAUGCACCCCCUCUCUCUGGCAUUCAUAAGUGUUCAGUAAAUUAUGCCUACAAUACAUUAUCAGCACGCUCUUGAUGCUACGCUAAAGAGAGUUUAUUCUUCAUUCAGUGAAGUAUUACGUUUUAAUCAUUCUUUUUAUGAUUAAUUUAUUAUUUUAUUGAAUUGACCUACAUGCUAUUUGUUGAUGCACAAAACCGGAGGGGUCUUGGAACAACGUAAAUCUGACCGUGAAUCUGCAAGAAAUUAAAUAACACAAGAUGUAUCGUGGUUCAUCCCAAUGUUCGGGCUACGUCCACACUGAUAUUGUAUUUCUCUGUUUGUGAGAGGAUUGUGAGGGUGAGAGCCUCUGUAAUGUGAGAGUGAUGCUUCUCUUUAGGGAUCUGAGACCCUUCCGUUUGUGAGGGUGAGGAUACCCCUUUUAUAGACUAAGAGCUCCUCACUUAUUACAUAUUUCCCCCUUCAUUUAUUACAUAAUUACAUUUGAGUCCCCCGAGUAUUUAUACGAGGUCUAAAUACGGAGGCCCUAAGUAUGGUACAAACAGUAGUCCCCCAAGUCUUCAGUCAAGAGAGUCUUUUGGCUAGAGACUUGAAAUUCAGUCCAUGUGUAGGCCGAAGUAACUAGAUGUCGUCUAGGACUGAUACUCGAUAUGAAGCGGUGCUCAAUCUGAAAUAAUGUUCAACUAGAAGUAGCACAUGUUGCAAGGCUGCUCGGUUUGUGGCUUAUGUUGCCUUGGUUGGCUCGGCUUGUGGCGUUGAAGGUGAGGGAGUCCCUUUUAUAAAAUAAGGGCUCGCUCCUCAAUACAUAAGUGAUGGGCUAGAGUUUAUGCUCGCGGCGAGACGGUUGCUCAGCUGGCGACGAUGCUCUCUAAUGAUGGUGAGGGAGUCCCUUUUAUAGAAUAAGGGAUCGCUCCUCAAUACAUAAGUGAUGGGCUAGAGUUGAUGCUCACGGCGAGACGGUUGCUCAGCUGGCGACGCUGCUCUCUAAUGAUGGUGAGGGAGUCCCUUUUAUAGAAUAAGGGAUCGAUCCUUAAUACAUAAAUGAUGGGUUAGGAGUGAUGCUCGCGGCGAGGUGGUUGCUCAGCUGGCGGCGAUGCUCUCUAAUGAAGGUGAGGGAGUCCCUUUUAUAAAAUAAGGGAUCGCUCCUCAGUACAUGAAUAAUGGAUGCUUUCUAAUGAAAGUGAAUGAGUCACUUUUAUAGAAUAACGACUCGCUCCUCAAUACAUAAAUAAUGGGUUAGAGUCCCCCAAGUAUUUUUCAUGAGGCCCAGUUGAGGCCCAAUAUAUGGUACAUAAUGUAGUUCCCCAAGUCUUCAGUCAAUAGGGUCUGUUGGCUGGAGACUUCAAAUUGAAUCCAUGUAUGGGCCGAAGUGGUGGUUGUUCGGAGACGGUAUUUGUAUAUCCUUGUCACACCCCGGACCCGGGGUAGGUGGAAAAUUCGAUCCCAAGUCUGAAACGCGAACUAAAAACUAAAUAAAUAAAAUAAAACGGAAACGGGUUGGAAAAUAAAAUUCUUCUUAUUUAAAAUAACUCAAUAAUUCUUUACAAGGCUAAAUAAAUAAAUACAAAUUCUAGCCUCACAUCUAUCUCGUUUCAUCCCGUCUACCAUUUUGACAGUUUAGUUAGUAAACCUGCAUAACAAUAGAGGGGUGAGCUUCAACAGCUCAGUAGGAACAUAACCUUACCACAGUAAAAUUGACAAUACUAAAUUACGUGUUAUAAAAUCAUGUAAUCAAGUACCAAAUCAUUCUCGAUAACAAUGCAUGAAUGCAAUGCAAAACUCUUCAUCUUUGCCCGUUAAUUCAUAUAAUAAAACACGCGGACCUGCACGUCCCAUACCGUGCAUUUUACCUCUGCAGUGGUGGUUCGAAUGUUUUAAUAUACAAAUUAACCCCAUGUAACUCAAUCAUCCCAAUUUCCCAAACUCUUCGUCGCCAGUCCCGAAUUACCCUUAAAGAAUUUAUGCAUUGUGGGCUCGCCUGAGACCUGGUACCUGCUAAGAGUUUGGCUCAACUACACAAAAGAUAUUUCCAACUACCCUCAUUUCCAGAAUUCCUUCCUCAACACCAAACUUCCAACUAUUCUCACACAUAAGUGAUGCACAAAUAAUCUCAUUUCAUCAUUCACAUGUACCAGAACAUAUUCUCAGCGAAUAUAACUUCACCAAUAAUUUCGUAUCCAAUAACGAGUAAACACACAAGAGCAGUAUUUGUCCAAUUAGUAAACCAUAUCACAUUAAUCAACCAACAAGAUCGAUAAUAAUAUAAUGUUUCACGAAAUUUAAUAAAGCCAAUCUCCGUAAAGGUCUGCCGUAUUUCCCUUACCUAGAGUCCAAAGCAAGCAAACAAUGUCCCUUACCAACACCUCGAUUAAACACAACCAUCGUGGUAACUGGAGUCCCUGAUCCAACAAAUAAACUAUAUCACUGUAUAAUCCCUAUAUCUAACACCCAAUAUAAACUCCUUUAUUUUAGAAUUCCAAUAUUAGGCUUAACAUCACCUUAUCUUAGUUGGACCCUUAAAACAUUUUUCUUUCUUAUUUGGGUCCUAAAAAAUUUCUCAAUUAUAUACAUGCUACCAAGAAGCAUUUGCCCACAAAACAAUUCUAAAAUCACAGUUUUGUCCCAAGCCUUCGGGUAAUAACAAAACUACCCUUAACUUUCAGAGAACUGUAAAAUGGCCCCAAAUCUGAACUUCUAUUUCAGUUUGGUCCCUGUAGGGUGAAUAGUGAUAUUCAUGGCUAUUUUCCAGAUUGGUUCCUCUUGUCUUUCAAUCCAAAACAUGUCUAAACCCAUUUAUCAUGAUCUCUAAGUACCAAAUCACCAUUCAAGUUCACCAAGUUCCCUUAAUUUCGUAACAGCCACAAAAUAUCAAGGUUUAAAAACCAUGAAAUAAUUCUAGGGUUUGCAGCAGCUAGCCCAUAAAGAAUAUAACCUCAAUUCGUUCAGUUAUGCUUCCAAUAAGCUUAAUCCACCAUAAACAACAUUUAAAUUUAAAGAUUAAAGUUUGUGUAGGAAUAAAUCCCAAAAAUGGCAGCUUUCAAAAUCUGCAGUAAAUCCAUAAAUUAUUACUUGAGAUUUGUAAUACUCUUCCCCACGAAAGUGGAAUCAAAUUCGAACUUCCAAAUCAAAAGUUAAGAGAAAAUUGGUGUUUGGUUGAGACAAGGAGAUGAAGCUCAUUGCUUCCUCUUUGCAUCUUUCCGUGAAGAGAAGAAGAAAGACCAUUAGGUCUUUCGAUCCAAUAUAUAGGUGCACUUGCACCGCUUUCUUCAUUUGUGAUCCAAUGUCCACUUGCCACGUUUCAACGUAAUUCUAUCUUCUUCUUAAGGUCCAACUAAAACCUGCCAAGUGGUAGACUUGGCACUUAUUUGAGAACCCGGAUCAUAUCCUUUUGCUGUCACCUUCAGGAGCUGUCAUGUGGUGAUUCGCCAUUGGUCCAGCUUGUAAAUUCAAUUAAAACCUACACUCCGAAAAAUCAUCUAAAAGAUUAUACAAAAUCGCAAUGACGUUCACUACCUUCAUAUGAAAACCUUUUGAAUAAAUAAGCACAACAUAUUUUUUCCAAAUAUUUUUCUUAUUCAAUAAUAAAUUCUUGGGAUAUUACAAUCUUGCACUAAAGCUUUGUAGGUGAAGCUUUGCAAGUGAAGCUUUGAAGCUAGAGCUCUGUAAAUGAAGCUUUCGAAGUUGGAGCUUUUGUAAAUGAAGCUUUUGAAGCUAGAGCUUUGUAAAUGAAGCUUUCGAAGCUGGAGCUCUAUAAAUGAAGCUUUCGAAGCUAGAACUCUAUAAAUGAAGCUUUCGAAGCUAGAGCUUUGUAAAUGAAGCUUUUGAAGCUAGAGCUUUGUAAAUGAAGCUUUCGAAGCUGGAGCUCUAUAAAUGAAGCUUUCGAAGCUAGAGCUUUGUAAAUGAAGCUUUCGAAGCUAGAGCUUUGUAAAUGAAGCUUUUGAAGCUAGAGCUUUGUAAAUAAAGCUUUUGAAGCUAGAGCUUUUGUAAAUGAAGCUUUUAAAGCUAGAGCUCUGUAAAUGAAGCUUUUGAAGCUAGAACUUUUGUAAAUGAAGCUUUUGAAGCUAGAACUCUGUAAAUGAAGCUUUCGAAGCUAAAUUGACAUGAGUGAUGCUCAUGAAUGUUUAUGUUGAUUGACAUGAGUGAUGCUUAUGAAUGUUAACAUGAGUGAUGCUUAUGAAUGUUGACAUGAAUGAUGGUCAUGAAUAUUUAUGUAUGAUUGACAUGAGUGAUGUUCAUGAAUGUUUAUGUAUGAUUGACAUAAGUGGUGCUCAUGAAUGUUUAUGUAUGAUUGAUAUGAGUGAUGCUCAUGUAUAAUUUUGGAGUACUGGACAUACUUUUGAUCACCUGGUUGGUGAUAAUAGCGGCAGGCUGCCGAAUAAUUUUGGGAGUACUGGACGUACUUUUGAUCACCUGGUUGGUGAUAAUAACGGCAAGGUGUCGAAUAAUUUUGGAAGUACUGGGCGUACUUUUGAUCACCUGGUUGGUGAUAAUAGCGGCAGGGUGCCGAAUAAAUUUGGAGCCAUAAGGCUUGGCUCUUUUGGGCAUAUGGCCCUUCGCCAUCCACAUGACAUUGCAGCCCAUUAUUUUAGGCUUGCCUUUUUUUUAUAUUUUAUUUUAUUUUUAUGAUUACCCUCUGAUGGGGUUAUACAGAUGUCUUUGAAAGAUAAGAAAAAUAAAUUACAUCAUUCAAAAAUAAAUCUGACCCUCUGCUCAAUGGGUCACGCCCAUAAUUCUCUUUUCUGCAUGUCAUCACCACAACAAUUAUGUCUGCUUUUUUUUUUUUUUAUCUUAUUUUGCUUUGCUGCUUUUGUUUUUCCCACUUCAUUUCCUGCAACUUUCAAAACGUCAAGGUUGGCAGAGCCCAUCUGCAGACUUGCUUUUGCUUUUUCUUUUCACUUUUAUGGGAGUGGUUGAGCUGUCUGAGGGCCUUUCUUUUUCUUUUGUUGGAUAAGUGCGACAAAGCAUCAAUAUGCUAGCACAUGUGAAUAUCUGGUAAAGCUAAGUCUUUUGUUGGGAAAAGUUAUUCCUUUUGUCUAAGUGGGUUGUUGAAGAUAACCCAUCAUUGCAGCUCCACCACAAGUUUGCAUCUUAGCUUCCAUGCUCGCCGACAGUACCGUAUGGACUGGAUUCCAAUGUUCAGUUGCAAACUCGCAGCCAUUUGGACCGUCACCAGGAAGCCUUGAAUUGAAACACACAUUGUUUUACUGAAAACAGCAACUUUCUCUUCCUCUCCUCAGAAACAACUUAGCACCUAGAACAGAGAGGGAAACAUCCUGCGGACGGCAAGGUCACCGAGAAGCUUGUAACGGAGAGACUUGGCCUGAGCAAUAGCGCACAGCCCUCUGUUGUUAACCUUCUCAACGUAAAGCUCAACGCUGUUUUCUGGAAACUUAAACCUCUUCUGUACAACAGAGGUUAGCUCCCUGAUCCUCAUCCCCUUCUCUCCGAGAACGUUUUGGGUUCAGGUGGCUCGGAUGAUGAUCUGGGUUCGCAUCGGCAUAACCCUAACUUCAACGCCGGAGUAGCCGUCUUCGGCGAGCUCUCUCGUCAACACCUCGUUCAGCUCGGCGAAGAAAACGUCAUUGGCGAUGAACAUUCUGCGGACGGCAAGGUCACCGAGAAGCUUGUAACGGAGAGACUCGGCCUGAGCAAUAGCGCACAGCCCUCUGUUGUUAACCUUCUCAACGUAAAGCUCAACGCUGUUUUUUGGAAACUUAAACCUCUUCUGUACAACAGAGGUUAGCUCCCUGAUCUUCAUCCCCUUCUCUCCGAUAACGUUUUGGGUUCAGGUGCCUCAAAUGAUGAUCUCGGUUUGCAUCGGCAUAACCCUAACUUCAACGCCGGAGUAGCCGUCUUAGGCGAGCUCUCUCGUUAGCACCUCGUUCAGCUCGGCGAAGAAAACGCCAUUGGCGAUGAACUUUCGCUUCUUGCUCAUUUGGGUCGCAGUCGCCAUGGUUGUGGGUGUGAAAGUUGCAGAGAUGGGAUCUGAAAUAUGGUGGCAGGAGAGGAUUCAAGGCCACCUGGGUAUCUACAACAUUGUUCAACUUGAUGCCAAACUGAAAGUACAGGGCCUCACUAUCUCGUUUGCAAUCAUGAAUGACUUUGGUGAUAUAGGAAUACUCAAGUGCAGGCUUACAGGCAUUGAUCAGCAUCACCCCUCCCUGAAUGGCAUCAACCAGAUAUAUAGCAUUUGGAAAUACAAGCUGCAUGAUACAGAGAGUUCCAUGACGACAAAGGUUAACUCCCUUGCAAUCAAAACCAAUGACAAAUGGCCUUUCAGCUGAAAGCUGGGCCAGGCGAAAGAGGAAUGUGAGUCUAUAAAGGAGGAGGUACAGAGGUCAUGCGAUCGGACCAUCCACGCCAAUCUUUAAUUUUGCCUCCAAACCAACGAAACCCUGAUUGUCUCUUAUUCUCUCUCUUCUCAUAUGCUGAUUGAAUGAGUGUGAUUGUAACUGACAAAUAAUGGUAGAGAGAGAAAAAGUUUGUGGUGUUUUGUUUGAAAAGGUGAAAGAGAUCAGAAGCAAAAGUGAGGUAGAGAGAAUUUUGGUUGUCUCUUGGGUUUUGCAGAUCCACGGCGAAGGUGAAAAUUGAGAUAGGACCGACAUAGCUUUUCGUGUCACUUCCCACAGACGACGCCAAAUGUUGAUGCACAAAACCGGAGGGUCUUGGAACAAUGUAAAUCCGACCGUGAAUGUGCAAGAAAGUAAAUAACACAAUAUGUAUCGUGGUUCACCCCAAUGUGCGGGCUACAUCCACAUUGAUAUUGUAUUUCUCUGUUUGUAAAAGGAUUGUGAGGGUGAGAGCUUCUGUAAUGUGAGAGUGAGGCCUCUCUUUGGGGAUCUGAGACCCUUUCGUUUGUGAGGGUGAUGAGGCCCCUUUUAUAGACUAAGGGCUUCUCACUUAUUACAUAUUUCCCCCUUCAUUUAUUACAUAAUUACAUUUGAGUCCCCCGAGUAUUUAUACAAGGUCUAAAUACGGAGGCCCUAAGUAUGGUACAAACACUAUUGAUUCAAUUUAAUUUUUUAUUUGUUGAACGUGAUACAACACAUUGGAGAUGCAAUUCCGGCUUUCCGAGAAAGAUGUUCUACAAAUUUAAAGGCUUUUGUUGUUUUAUGUUAAUCAGGUACGUUUAAAAUAAAUGAAGAUAUUUGAAACGACCAUGAAGCAUGGAAACAUUCCCCAUGAUGCAUGAACCCCUUACAAUUAUAUUUACCUUUCGAUAUAUAUAUACGUUUCAUGCAUUAUGCAAUUUUUGUUAUUUGGAAUUUGCGAGUCAGAGAAUUGAAAUAAAUUAGAAGCAAGGGUUUUUCAAACCCUUCAAUGGCGGAUGAGGUGGUGUUGUUGGAUUUCUGACCAAGCCCAUUUGGGAUGAGGCUGAGGAUUGCUCUGGCAGAAAAGGGCAUCGAGUAUGAGUACAAAGAUGAGGACUUGUGGAACAAGAGCCCACUGUUGUUGCAGAUGAACCCGAUUCACAAGAAGAUACCGGUUCUCAUUCACAAUGGAAAACCAGCCUAUGAUUCCCUCAUUGCGCUUCAGUACAUUGAUGAGGUUUGGAACGAUAAGGCUCCACUCUUGCCCUUUGACUCUUACCUUAUAGCCCAGGGCUGACUUUGUCAACAAGAAGGUGAUUUUUACUCAUUAAUUUACUUAUUUUUUGUUGUUGUUUUUUUUUUUUCAACAAACGAUAUUAUCUACACUAAAAAGAAGAUGGUAGGUUUAGCCUCACAAUGAAUUAUUAAUAAUUUGGUUCAAAUUCGCUAUUUGCAAGAAUCGAACCUAAGACCUCUCACUUACAAGUAAAAAAGAAUAUCCCUAUACCGUAGUACAAGAUGACAAUUUCACAACAUAAUUAAGUUUAGUAUUUUUUUUCUAAAAUAUGCUCUUUUAUUUAUUUUUAAAAAAUCUAUGUUCAAUUUGACAUGAUACUUAAUUUUCUAUGUACCAAUUUGGAAAGAAAAAAAAUUUAAAAAAAAGGGGUUUAUAAGUACCAACUAUGUUUUGGGCCGAAAAGGAACUAACCCAAAAAAAGGGCCUUUCGAGAAGUUGGUGGAAGCUGAUGGAACUCUCUGUUUUUAUUGUUUUUUUUCCCUUCUGGAUUGCUGCAGAACUUUCUGUAGUUCUCGGUGAAACCUUCUGUGCCAUCCUAUAUAUAUACAACUCACUCCACAACCCUCCUUAUCAGUUAGAAUUAUCCAAAGCAAUCAAAGCAAAAUCUCUCACUCAAAUCCUUCGAAUUCACACCCAGCAAAAACCCAACUCAAACCCACCAUCUAAUGGCUCUCAGUCUCUUUGGCGGACGACGAAGCAACGUCUUCGACCCCUUCUCUCUGGACAUCUGGGACCCUUUCGAGGGCUUCGGCGCUCUGGCCAACGUCCCCUCCUCCGCCCGUGAAACCACCGCCAUCGCCAACACUCGCAUCGACUGGAAGGAGACCCCGGAGGCCCACAUCUUCAAGGCGGACCUCCCUGGGAUAAAAAAGGAGGAGGUGAAAGUGGAGGUGGAGGAUGGGAGGGUCCUGCAGAUCAGCGGCGAGAGGAGCCGGGAGCAGGAGGAGAAGAACGACAAGUGGCACAGGGUGGAGAGGAGCAGUGGCAAGUUUAUGAGGAGGUUCAGGCUGCCGGAGAACGCGAAACUUGAUCAGGUGAAGGCGGCGAUGGAGAAUGGGGUGCUGACUGUGACUGUGCCGAAAGAGGAGGAGAAGAAGCCUGAGGUCAAGGCCAUAGACAUUUCCGGUUAAAC